RNAcentral lists this ribosomal RNA (540 nucleotides) under Triticum aestivum (bread wheat). RNAcentral's name for it is "partial small subunit ribosomal RNA". Lineage: Eukaryota; Viridiplantae; Streptophyta; Magnoliopsida; Poales; Poaceae. The record is from RNAcentral.
AUGUCUUGCGCGGCGGCGGAGGCCGGCCUGGUGGCCAUGGACUGCGUGGUGGUGUGCUGCUGCUGCCCGUGCCUGGUGCUGCAGAUCACCGUGUUCCUCUUCGUCCGGCUGCCCCGGAAGGUGGUGGUCAAGUCCAAGAGGGUCUUUCUGCGGCGAUGGCACAGGAGGAGGAGGAGAAGAUCGGCAUCGGCAGCCGCGAAGAGGCUCUCCAGAAGCGGCAGCACGGCCUCGUCCUCCGGCAUGAGGCGCCUCGAGGAGCUGCUGGACGGCGGCAGCGACGGCGACGUCCGCGGUAGCUGGAAAGAGAAAUGCUUCGCCAUGGACGACGAUGAUGGCGGCGGCGGCUGGAAGCAGAGGUGCUUCGCCGUCGACGGCUGCGACGACGACGACGGCGUGUGGGAGGCGCUGGUGGAGCAGGAGGGGCUCUUCUGGUUCGGGAGCUUCUGGGGCCGGACGGAGCAGGGCGACCCGGUUUCUGCGGAGGACCAGAUGUACGCAGGCUUGAGCUUGCCGGUAGUCCUAGAGAGAGUGCGCGAUUAG